RNAcentral lists this ribosomal RNA (184 nucleotides) under uncultured methanogenic archaeon. RNAcentral's name for it is "partial 16S ribosomal RNA". It matches the Rfam family "Archaeal small subunit ribosomal RNA", at positions 581 to 764 of the family's 1478-position model. The record is from RNAcentral. Lineage: Archaea; Methanobacteriati; Methanobacteriota.
AUACUAUUGAUCUUGGGGCCGGGAGAGGUUGGAGGUACUCCGGGGGUAGGGGUGAAAUCUUGUAAUCCGGGGGGGACCACCUGUGGCGAAGGCUUCUUACUGGAACGGACUUGACGGUGAGGAACGAAAGCUGGGGGAGCAAACCGGAUUAGAUACCCGGGUAGUCCUGGCCGUAAACGAUGUG